GUCUUAAAGAUUAUAAUUUUAGGUUUAAUCUGCCCACUGAAAUAUUUAAAUGGCCGCAGUAUUUUAACUGUGCAAAGGUAGCAUAAUAAUUAGUUUUUUAAUUAAAAGCUUGUAUGAAUGAUUGGACGAGAAAAUAACUUUUUUAUAAUAAAAUGUUGAAUUUUAUUUUUAAAUUAAAAAGUUUAAAUAAAAUUAAAAGACGAGAAGACCCUAUAGAGUUUUAUAUAUAAUAUUUAUAAUUAAUUUUAGAAUUUUAAAUUUUUAUUAAUUUUAUAUAUUUUAUUGGGGUGAUAAAAAAAUUUAUUAAACUUUUUAAAUUAUAAAUUCAAUAAUAAUUGAAUAAUUGAUCUUUAUUUUUGAUUAUUAGAUUAAAUUACCUUAGGGAUAACAGCGUAAUUUUUUUGAAGAGUUCUUAUCGAUAAAAGAGAUUGCGACCUCGAUGUUGGAUUAAGAUAAAUUUUUAAUGUAGAAGUUAAAAUGAUUAAGUCUGUUCGACUUUUAAAAUCUUACAUGAUC
This 516-nucleotide ribosomal RNA is filed under the name Zethopsus sp. JP-2014. RNAcentral describes it as "partial 16S ribosomal RNA". The stretch from base 384 to 516 matches the Rfam family "Archaeal large subunit ribosomal RNA", at positions 2542 to 2674 of the family's 2987-position model. Lineage: Eukaryota; Metazoa; Arthropoda; Insecta; Coleoptera; Staphylinidae. The record is from RNAcentral.